Molecule: long non-coding RNA, 2503 nt
Organism: Dama dama (fallow deer)
Lineage: Eukaryota; Metazoa; Chordata; Mammalia; Artiodactyla; Cervidae
Exons: 3
Source: RefSeq, a predicted model, not a curated record
GUGACCCCUACCAGCUCGCUAAGGCUCGGCUGCAACCCACCCAACUCCCGCCCCAGGAUGCUGUUCAUUCUUUUCUUGGCGGGGUCGCCUUGAUUCCGGUUUCGGAACUUGUGUGGACACUUGUGCAGGUUAGGAAGAGAAUCUUUGGGGCUGUUUUGUGGGUCCACGCUGACUCUUUUGUGAACUCUGGGCCCUAAAGUCUUGGGCAGUACUGGGGCCAGGAACACCCAGGAAAGAGCGCACGUUUCCGGUGGUAAAGUCUGCAUUAGAGAGUGAUUGACAUAGGCAAGGACAGAGAGGAUGGGAGCGGAUCAAAAUGUGAGACUUUAAGAUGCUAAAUUGGGAAUGGUUUAAUUUUAAUAAACUUUAAAGAACCGAUGGUUUUGAUUACCUUUAGAGCCACUUCGAAGCCGCGAAGAAAAAUAGGUUCGUAUAUUUGAACAACUGCUGCGGCUUAAAGAAUUGUUUUUGUAGGAGACAGGCCUACUAAAAGGCCUGACAAAAGAAUUAAACAAUCUUGCUGAGAGGACAUGAUUCAGUCCUCUGAUUCAGUGUGUGACUCCUGAAGGAAUCCAAGAAGGAACAGAAAACAUCUUGAAAGCAGGAUGUACGCCUGCGGAUGGAAAGCCAUCAACAGACUGUUCCUAUCCUUGGUGCCUGGGAGGCACAUAAAGAUUACCUGGGUCUCUGUCCUUGAGGCAGAAAAAGGGGGAUACAAAAAUAUUAAAUGUUAACUGCGCAGGAUUAUGACUGAAGGCCACCUGGCCCGCUGUGCUCAUGUACACACAUACAAGCAAGUCUCAAAAAGUAUAAUAAAGCAGACUUGAGAUCAGUUUGGGUACCUUCACCUCGUGGGGCUGUUGGUCCCCUGAUCCCUGCUGUAACUUUCUUGAGUGUUUCUCAUUCUUUCGCCAUGGUGGCACUUUGGAGAACCUGUGUUGUCGAGCUGGACUUGACAAGUGGCGCCCCAUCAGGGACCUGAAAGUGAAACCAGCUUUGGAAGCUUCUCCUUAGGAGGCAAGGAACACGGGGAAUUCUGACUGAAGAGGUGGACCUGGAAAGUACCUGAACCUGGGCCUGCCAAGACCAAGCGAAUGUGAACUGCUACAAUACCCACUUGGGGGCAGAUAAAAAAGUUAUCACAGGAAGCUGAGAGCCUAGUUCAUCAUCGUGGCCUUCCAAAAACAUCUGCCAAUCUACUACUGGCUAUGGUAACCCUUAUCACAAUGUCGUCUGGAGAAGAACAAGAAAGAAGCAGCAGCAACAGUUAGCCUUCUUGACUAUAUUCAGUUAUCUACAAAAACAAAAAGGGGGAGAUGUAGGAGACAGGCCUACUAAAAGGCCUGACAAAAGAAUUAAACAAUCUUGCUGAGAGGACAUGAUUCAGUAUGUGACUCCUGAAGGAAUCCAAGAAGGAACAGAAAACAUCUUGAAAGCAGGAUGUACGCCUGCAGAUGGAAAGCCAUCAACAGACUGUUCCUAUCCUUGGUGCCUGGGAGGCACAUAAAGAUUACCUGGGUCUCUGUCCUUGAGGCAGAAAAAGGGGGAUACAAAGAUAUUAAAUGUUAACUGCGCAGGAUUAUGACUGAAGGCCACCUGGCCCGCUGUGCUCAUGUACACACAUACAAGCAAGUCUCAAAAAGUAUAAUAAAGCAGACUUGAGAUCAGUUUGGGUACCUUCACCUUGUGGGGCUGUUGGUUCCCUGAUCCCCACUGUAACUUUGUUUCUCAUUCUUUCGCCAUGGUGGCACUUUGGGAACCUGUGCUGUCGAGCUGGACUCGACAGUUUUCUCAUUUGUAGUGAUGUCAUUGGAUAAGGUGAGGUUUAAGCACUUUCUCACAUUCGUCAUUUUAUUUAAUCUUCUCGCCAAUCCUGCGAAGAUACUUUGCAGUAUCAUUUCUAUUUAUACAUUUGGCCCUUGGAUUGUAAUGCCUAGCUUUAACUAGACUUGGUGCUAAGUGACCUUUUUUUCCCCCUGCCCCUCUGAAGUGACUUAGCUGUUUACAAAACUCAGUCCAAAGAGGUACCACUGAUGCUCAAGGCAUUUACACAUGAUCUCCAAGAAAUGUUUCUGGUAAUGGAAGCAUAACUUGGACAGCCUUAUAGUUCAUAAGAUGAUUACUUUGGAGGAGCAGUAUUUAUUUGGUUAUGUAAAUUGAGUGUGUGCUAAUCACUUGUCACAGAUACUUAAAAUCUUCCCAUUUAUCUCUGCAUGACUGGUUCUUUUUGCUCUGUUGGGUCUCACUUCAUGUCAAAGACGAGUUCCCUGACUUCCAUGCAAACCACCAUCAACAUGUUUUAUUUUCUUCAUAGUACCUAUCAUCGUCUGGAUUAUCUUGUCCAUUUAUUGUUUGUUUACGGCCUUAACCCCAACGCCCAUUUAAAAUGUACCCAUAAUGAGAGAAGGGACCUUGUCAAUCUUGUUUAGUGCUGUAUCCUAGGGCCUAGAGUAGUGCCAAUACAUACUUGUUUUUUUAAUUUUUUUUAUUUUUUUUUAUACAU